GGUCCAGUGGUGUAGCGGUGAACGCGCUGUUGCAACAUUGGAGCUGUUCAUCACAUGUUCACGAUGGAGGUCCUUGUUCGAAUCAAGGCUGGACCA
Molecule: non-coding RNA, 96 nt
Organism: Mycena polygramma
Lineage: Eukaryota; Fungi; Basidiomycota; Agaricomycetes; Agaricales; Mycenaceae
Source: the annotation of a GenBank genome assembly